GAUGAACGCUGGCGGCGUGCCUAAUACAUGCAAGUCGAGCGAACGGACGAGAAGCUUGCUUCUCUGAUGUUAGCGGCGGACGGGUGAGUAACACGUGGAUAACCUACCUAUAAGACUGGGAUAACCUCGGGAAACCGGAGCUAAUACCGGAUGAUAUUUUGAACCGCAUGGUUCAAAAGUGAAAGACGGUCUUGCUGUCACUUAUAGAUGGAACCGCGCUGCAUUAGCUAGUUGGUAAGGUAACGGCUUACCAAGGCAACGAUGCAUAGCCGACCUGAGAGGGUGAUCGGCCACACUGGAACUGAGACACGGUCCAGACUCCUACGGGAGGCAGCAGUAGGGAAUCUUCCGCAAAGGGCGAAAGCCUGACGGAGCAACGCCGCGUGAGUGAUGAAGGUCUUCGGAUCGUAAAACUCUGUUAUUAGGGAAGAACAUAUGUGUAAGUAACUGUGCACAUCUUGACGGUACCUAAUCAGAAAGCCACGGCUAACUACGUG
This 497-nucleotide ribosomal RNA is filed under the name uncultured bacterium. RNAcentral's name for it is "partial 16S ribosomal RNA". It matches the Rfam family "Bacterial small subunit ribosomal RNA", at positions 28 to 507 of the family's 1533-position model. The record is from RNAcentral.